CGUAGGGUGCAAGCGUUAAUCGGAAUUACUGGGCGUAAAGCGUGCGCAGGCGGCUUUGCAAGACAGAUGUGAAAUCCCCGGGCUCAACCUGGGAACUGCAUUUGUGACUGCAAGGCUAGAGUACGGUAGAGGGGGAUGGAAUUCCGCGUGUAGCAGUGAAAUGCGUAGAUAUGCGGAGGAACACCGAUGGCGAAGGCAAUCCCCUGGACCUGUACUGACGCUCAUGCACGAAAGCGUGGGGAGCAAACAGGAUUAGAUACCCUGGUAGUCCACGCCCUAAACGAUGUCAACUGGUUGUUGGACGGCUUGCUGUUCAGUAACGAAGCUAACGCGUGAAGUUGACCGCCUGGGGAUACGGCCGCAAGGUUG
RNAcentral lists this ribosomal RNA (369 nucleotides) under uncultured organism. Its description in RNAcentral is "bacterial SSU rRNA". It matches the Rfam family "Bacterial small subunit ribosomal RNA", at positions 526 to 896 of the family's 1533-position model. The record is from RNAcentral.